GGCUCAUCUCAUCCUGGGGCUGUAGCCGGUCCCAAGGGUAUGGCUGUUCGCCAUUUAAAGAGGUACGUGAGCUGGGUUUAAAACGUCGUGAGACAGUUUGGUCCCUAUCUGCCGUGGGCGCUGGAAGUUUGAGGGGGCCUGCUCCUAGUACGAGAGGACCGGAGUGGACAUACCUCUGGUGUACCGGUUGUGACGCCAGUCGCAUCGCCGGGUAGCUAUGUAUGGAAGAGAUAAACGCUGAAAGCAUCUAAGCGUGAAACUCGCCUCAAGAUGAGACUUCCCUCGGGACUUGAUCCCGCUAAAGGGUCGUGGAAGACCACCACGUUGAUAGGUCGGGUGUGGAAGCGCAGUAAUGCGUUAAGCUAACCGAUACUAAUUGCCCGUGCGGCUUGAUCCU
Molecule: ribosomal RNA, 397 nt
Filed under: Sphingomonadales bacterium
Lineage: Bacteria; Pseudomonadati; Pseudomonadota; Alphaproteobacteria; Sphingomonadales
Description: partial 23S ribosomal RNA
Rfam family: Bacterial large subunit ribosomal RNA
Source: RNAcentral